ACGAAUAACUAUGGUGGGCUGUCGCUGCCUCUUCGGAGGAAUGUGCACGUCCACCAUUUUUAUCUAUCCACCUGUGCACCGACUGUAGGUCUGGAUCACUCUCUUCUUCACCUCGCAAGGGGCUGUUGACGGAUGCGAGGAUUGCUCUCUCGGGCGCUCUCCUCGAAUUUCCAGGUCUACGUCUUUUACACACCCCAAAAGUAUGAUAUAGAAUGUAGUCAAUGGGCUUCUCAGCCUAUAAAACACUAUA
Molecule: unclassified non-coding RNA, 250 nt
Filed under: uncultured Coprinellus
Lineage: Eukaryota; Fungi; Basidiomycota; Agaricomycetes; Agaricales; Psathyrellaceae
Description: sequence contains ITS1
Source: RNAcentral